UACGAAGGGUGCAAACGUUGCUCGGAAUUAUUGGGCGUAAAGCGCACGUAGGCGGCAUUGCAAGUCGGAUGUGAAAUCUUAUGGCUUAACCAUAAAAGUGCAUCCGAAACUGCAGUGCUUGAGUACUUAAGAGGAUCGCGGAAUUCCCGGUGUAGAGGUGAAAUUCGUAGAUAUCGGGAGGAACACCAGCGGCGAAGGCGG
Molecule: ribosomal RNA, 201 nt
Filed under: uncultured bacterium
Lineage: Bacteria
Description: partial 16S ribosomal RNA
Rfam family: Bacterial small subunit ribosomal RNA
Source: RNAcentral